This 689-nucleotide ribosomal RNA is filed under the name Polypedilum exilicaudatum. Its description in RNAcentral is "partial 28S ribosomal RNA". It matches the Rfam family "Eukaryotic large subunit ribosomal RNA", at positions 430 to 944 of the family's 3401-position model. Lineage: Eukaryota; Metazoa; Arthropoda; Insecta; Diptera; Chironomidae. The record is from RNAcentral.
CCAAAUAUCUAAACGGAGAAAUUCAAUAUUACCCCGAUUUUUUGGUCAGCGUAAUGUGCACUUUUCUCUUAGUAAGACGCCGUGAUCCAUUAGAAAUUGGUACACGCCAAGUGUGCAGUGGGUCAUCAAUAGGCCGAUGCGAAGUUUAUUCGGAACAAAUGGCACAAUCAUUUUAACGGUCGUGUGUAUUGUCUGGUAAGCGCGUCGUGUCCUGCAAUGACUGUCUGAUGGAUUUUAAAGACUGCAUUAUCAACGAUGUUACGGCAUCGCAUAUGCUACUUCUUGUGGUGUGUGUUGUGAUACGUGUCUGAUCGACGGCGGUUAAAUUUGGGAUACCUUUUGGACCCGUCUUGAAACACGGACCAAGGAGUCUAUCUAGUAUGCGAGUAAAUGGAUAGUUGAUGAAAUCUAUUUGCAUAAUAAACGUGACUGUAUUAUUGUGGGAUUACAACUUGAUGACAUGCGCAAGUGUGUCACUUGUUUUCCAUCCCGGGGUAUUUUCGCCAACAUAUGUGCGCAAGUUCAUAUGGAAAAUAUACCAUGAGCACACUGGAUACGACCCGAAAGAUGGUGAACUAUGCCUGAUCAGGUCGAAGUCAGGGGAAACCCUGAUGGAGGACCGAAGCAGUUCUGACGUGCAAAUCGAUUGUCAGAAUUGGGCAUAGGGGCGAAAGACCAAUCGAACCAUC